Molecule: non-coding RNA, 522 nt
Organism: Erpetoichthys calabaricus (reedfish)
Lineage: Eukaryota; Metazoa; Chordata; Cladistia; Polypteriformes; Polypteridae
Source: the annotation of a RefSeq genome assembly
CUUUAUGAUGUUCAGAUUUACAUGCCUGACGUGAUUUGCAUACUGAUUUUGCUUGGCUGCUCUGCUGUUUUUUUAAAAGUGUGAAAAUAUUUCAGAACUAAACACCUCUGGAGAACAUGGCCUCAGUGAUGCUUCUGUUGUGGACUGCAGCUCUGUUUGCGCAGUACACCAAAGGGGAGAUUGUUUUGACUCAGAAGCCAUCGGUGAAAUCUGUUCUCCUUGGAGAUCAAGUCACUCUUGACUGCAUGUCCAGUUCCUCCAGUUUUACUAACAGCCUGGCUUGGUACCUGCAGAGGCCUGGAGAAAAACCCAGACUCCUGUUUUCUUCAGUGGGUAGCCGAGUGUCUGGGACACCGAGCCGUUUCACUGACGGCAGAUCUGGGACUGUGUUCUCGCUGACCAUUAAAGGAGUCCAGCCUGAAGACAUGGGUGAUUAUUACUGUCAGCAGCACUAUGAGCUCCCUCUCACACAAUGAGAAAGAGUCAAACAAAAACCUUCACAGGCUUUGGCAGUGCAGCUGC